This 819-nucleotide ribosomal RNA is filed under the name Harpella tica. RNAcentral's name for it is "eukaryotic LSU rRNA". It matches the Rfam family "Eukaryotic large subunit ribosomal RNA", at positions 38 to 667 of the family's 3401-position model. Lineage: Eukaryota; Fungi; Kickxellomycota; Harpellomycetes; Harpellales; Harpellaceae. The record is from RNAcentral.
GCAUAUCAAUAAGCGGAGGAAAAGAAACUAACAAGGAUUCCCCUAGUAACGGCGAGUGAAACGGGAACAGCUCAAGCCUAAAAUCUGCAAGUAUUUAACGACUUGUCGAAUUGUAGCUUAUGGAAUCAGUUUCGAUAUUACAAUUUGGUAAAAGUUCUUUUGAAUAAGACAUCAAAGAGGGUGAAAAUCCCGUAUUUGACCAAAUAAUUAAAUGUAAUUCGGUGUGAACUGUUUUCUUUGAGUCGGGUUGUUUGGUAAUGCAGCCCUAAUUAGGAGGUAAAUUUCUUCUAAAGCUAAAUAUAAGCAAGAGACCGAUAGUAAACAAGUACCGUGAGGGAAAGAUGAAAAGCACUUUGAAAAGAGAGUGAAAAGUACGUGAAAUUGUUGAAAGGGAACCGGUUGGUAGCAAAGCAUCUGCAGCUGUUGCUUUAGUAGUUUACUACUUUAGUACUGGCGAGUAGGGGGUCAACAUCAGUUAAAACUGUUUGAAAGGAAAAGAAAUAAAAGAGCGAAAAUAAGGUAGAGUGAUUAGUAGCAUUUGGGAUUUAUUUCAAGUGUAAUUAUUGCUAGUUGCUUAUUAUAGAUUUCCAUGAUUUUAUCUUGAGCCUAGAAAUGGAUUUAACUGAGGUAAAAAACGCAGUGUGKUUAAUUUAUUAACCUAGCUAAUUUAUUGUUGRURWUWAUUAAAAAGUUUUGUUAAUUUWUUAGACAGCUUGCKGWUUAGUAUUUUGAAUGAAAUAUAUUAAUAAUAAAAUAGACUAAAAAACACUUUGGAUGUUGGCGAAACGGCACCAAUCGACCCGUCUUGAAACACGGACC